GGUGACCUCGAUCAGUAGA
This 19-nucleotide ribosomal RNA is filed under the name Penicillium brevicompactum. Its description in RNAcentral is "partial 28S ribosomal RNA". The record is from RNAcentral. Lineage: Eukaryota; Fungi; Ascomycota; Eurotiomycetes; Eurotiales; Aspergillaceae.